AACAAUGUUGGAAAGGAACCUCUAUCGUAACAUUGUCUCUGUUUUGCAGCGUUUUGGCGUUGGCAGCAUAAGUAUAUACAACCCAGACGAAGUGGUAUAGCUCCAUUCUUCCAUGUGGCAGUUGGUGGUAUGAUUGCGUUCUACCUAAUGAAUUACAAGAAACUACGUCAUCAUAAACAUUACAAAUAUCACUAAUUGUAUUAUUAGACAUCUCUAUUAUAGAUAUCUCGAUUUGAUCAGAAUACAAGGAAUUUAUGUAUCAAUUGUUCAGGAAAGAGAUAUUCAACUUAUUAGAGUGUGUUCAAAUAAACAUUCUUAGUAUGCACAAAAAAAUAUAAAA
Molecule: long non-coding RNA, 340 nt
Organism: Formica exsecta
Lineage: Eukaryota; Metazoa; Arthropoda; Insecta; Hymenoptera; Formicidae
Exons: 2
Source: RefSeq, a predicted model, not a curated record